Anas platyrhynchos (mallard) is the source of this 1388-nucleotide non-coding RNA. Lineage: Eukaryota; Metazoa; Chordata; Aves; Anseriformes; Anatidae. The record is from RefSeq and is a predicted model, not a curated record.
UUUGUGCAGCUGGGAAUAGCAGGAAAGUGGGUGUCAUAGGAAAAAACAAUGCAGUGAUUUCUUUGCAGAGCUAAAUGAAACAGUAAGACUAGAAUGGGCAUGAUUGGUUAAAUUCAAUAAAUGUUCUUAAUUGUUUGGAGGAGGGAACUUGGCAUCGGACUUUUCUGAAAUCAAAGUGGCUGUGGAAGAUCUAUGGAACAAGUUGCUAAAUAAACACUAAAUAAGUCAUCAAGGCUUGAGUCUUCACUUGAGUUCUGGAUGAAUUUCAGAAUGAAAUAGCUGAGUUACUACUGGAAGCAUGUGACCUCUCAUAACUUCAAACCUGGGGACUGCAGCCCAAGAUUAUGGAAUCAAGUGAAGAUAGGAGACUUUUGACUUCCACUUCAAAGAAAUUCUACAGGCUGGAUGGAGAAGAAAUAUGUCCGGAUCACUGUGGCACAGGACCCAAACUGGAAGGAGCAGGAUCCCAGCCUUACUCUGCCAUGGCUACAGGGCUUUCAGACCCACACUUCCUAGCCAGCUGUCUUUGCUGCCUGCUGUGGGCACACAUUGCUGGGGAAUGUAGAUAACUAGCUGUGAAAGUGUCCUUCAUGGCAAAUGGUGAAAGCCUAAAGUCUUGAAUUCUAAACAAGAGGAAAGGGAAGAAAUAAAUGUUUUGCUUUCAGGAAGUGGACUUGCAUAAGAUAAAGGAGGAAAAGAUCCAUUCUGUCUGCAUCUGAACCCAUGAAUAACUGGAAGGAAUAAGGCCAUUUGGGGAUGACCAAAUUAUGGAAAAUGACAAUAGCAACGUUGCACCAUUUCUUAUGGUGAUCCAUAGUAGAUCUACAUGGCCAUCCAACUUUCUCAGCAGGAGUCCAAUGAGGAACUGUUCGGUCUGCAAUAUUUAUCCUAGUGACUUCCGUUUUGGUUAUCUGAGGAGAUUACUUCAUACAGUCCCAAAAAAAAGGAAUACUCAAUGUGAAUCUCUAUUUUUUCUAUUAAUUUGUGUGAAUUAACAUAAUACAAAAUAGUCUUUACAAAUUAAUGGGAAAAACUGUACAGCCAGAAAACAUAAGAAAAUCAGAAAAUCAAGUUUCAGAAAAGCUACUGGAAAAUAAAAUGAACAUAAAAAUCAUUCCUUAUCUUUGAUUUCAAAACCUACAUUUGAAAAGAGGUACAAUAAGAUAAUCACAGUUACAUUAAAUGUAUUAUCUGUUUUUUGUGAAAUAUAAAUUUUAUUUUUGUUUCCUUACGGCAGUACUGAAAAUGAUUAAAAUCACAUGAAAAGAUAAAUAUUGAGAAUUGCAGAAAAGCAAACAAGCAUUUCAAGAACUGUUAUGUGAAGGCCACAGCAAACUAAACCCCGUAACACUGAUCUAGCGAGGUCCUUAUUUUCAAAUAAAUUUUUG